UAUUUUCCUAAAUAAGAAAUCCUGAUAGUCCAUGGUAACCGCUAAAAAAUGCCACCAUUAGUCUUAAUAUGUCACCACACAACCACCACCAUCGUAAAACCAUGUUCUUCUUCCUCGCCCAAUUGCAAAAUCCACGAAGCAUCAGUAGAACCACCAUGGUUAGUCAAUGUCCAUGUGCCAUCACCGUGAACCAGGAUCGUUUUCUCUUCAUCCUCGUGCCAUGAAG
This 226-nucleotide long non-coding RNA is filed under the name Vigna radiata. RNAcentral describes it as "long non-coding RNA (VRAD_LNC009438)". The record is from RNAcentral. Lineage: Eukaryota; Viridiplantae; Streptophyta; Magnoliopsida; Fabales; Fabaceae.